Molecule: ribosomal RNA, 677 nt
Filed under: Podoscypha petalodes
Lineage: Eukaryota; Fungi; Basidiomycota; Agaricomycetes; Polyporales; Podoscyphaceae
Description: eukaryotic LSU rRNA
Rfam family: 5.8S ribosomal RNA (bases 264-417)
Source: RNAcentral
CGGGGGACCUGCGGAAGGAUCAUUAUCGAAUUAUAAUGCUGGGGUUGUAGCUGGCCUUUCAAUCGAGAGGUAAUGUGCACACCUUGGUCAUUCCAAAUUCUUAUACCUCUGUGCACUUUACAUAGAACGAUUUAUUAAGUUGGGUGAAAGGGUCGACUCUCUCGAGUUGACUUCAGUAGUUCAACUCAGUAAGUCUUCUGUGGUUCAUACACUUAUACCAGUCAGUCUAGAAUGUUAUACCGCGUUUAACGCAAACUAUAUACAACUUUCAACAACGGAUCUCUUGGCUCUCGCAUCGAUGAAGAACGCAGCGAAAUGCGAUAAGUAAUGUGAAUUGCAGAAUUCAGUGAAUCAUCGAAUCUUUGAACGCACCUUGCACUCCUUGGUAUUCCGAGGAGUAUGCCUGUUUGAGUGUCAUGGUAUUCUCAAUUCUAAUAACUUUUGUUAUUCGGAAUUGGACUUGGAGGUUUUUUGCCGGUGCUUCGGCGGCUGGCUCCUCUUAAAUGCAUUAGUGUGAAUCAAGUUACACGUUACUCAGUGUGAUAAUUAUCUGCGCUGUGUUUCAACGUUGACUUCAUAAGUGUUCAUGCUUAUAACCCGUCUGUUGACUCAGACACUUUACUUUGAAAUCUGACCUCAAAUCAGGUAGGACUACCCGCUGAACUUAAGCAUAUCAU